GACGAACGCUGGCGGCGUGCUUAACACAUGCAAGUCGAACGGUGAAGGGGCGUGCUUUUGUGGUGCCUGGGUGAGUGGCGAACGGGUGAGUCACACGUGAGUAACCUGCCCCCUUCUUCUGGAUAACCGCAUGAAAGUGUGGCUAAUACGGGAUAUUCUUGCUCUGUCGCAUGAUGGGGAUGGGAAAGAUUGCGCCGUUGGGUCUCUCUGGUGGGGGGUGGGCUGGUGGGCUAUCAGCUUGUGGGUGGUGUGAUGGGUGACCAGGGCGGGGACGGGUAGCCGGCCGGAGGGGGGGGGGGGUGACACUGGGACUGGGCCACUGGGCAGACUGCUACGGCAGGCAGCAGUAGGGAAUAUUGCACAAGGGGCGCAAGCCUGAUGCAGCGACGCCGCGUGAGGGAUGGAGGCCUGCGGGUUGUAGGCCUCUUGGGCGAGAGAAGCAGGCCUGCUCCUUGUGGGUGGGUUGACGGUAGUUGGAAAAGAAGCACCGGCUAACUACGUG
This 502-nucleotide ribosomal RNA is filed under the name uncultured bacterium. RNAcentral describes it as "partial 16S ribosomal RNA". It matches the Rfam family "Bacterial small subunit ribosomal RNA", at positions 28 to 507 of the family's 1533-position model. The record is from RNAcentral.